GGGCCUCUGGGUGCCAGUCCCGUCCGGAAGAGCAGCCAACCAGCAUCUUGCCUUCCGGACACAGCGCCCUGGCUGAGCUCUGCCUGCCUGGAGGCUCCCACAGGAUGGCCCUGGGGACCUCUGCAGCACUCGGGUCAAAUGUCAUCAGGAAUGAGCAGCUGCCCCUGCAGUACUUGGCCGACGUGGACACCUCUGAUGAGGAAAGCAUCCGGGCUCACAUGAUGGCCUCCCAUCAUUCCAAGCGGAGAGGCCGGGCGUCCUCUGAGAGUCAGGUAACGGUGGCUGGACAGACUUCUGUCUUGUCAUUUCUUCACGUGGAGUCUUUUUUGCCUCCACACCAAGUCACUUUAGAGAAAUUACAGCUUUUAAUACUUUCAAACUAUGAAAUUGCACAAGCCUACUUAAUGGAGAUACAUCAUCACAAUAUUUUUUGUGGAAGU
Molecule: small RNA, 440 nt
Filed under: Pongo abelii (Sumatran orangutan)
Lineage: Eukaryota; Metazoa; Chordata; Mammalia; Primates; Hominidae
Description: retained intron
Source: RNAcentral